RNAcentral lists this long non-coding RNA (526 nucleotides) under Pogona vitticeps (central bearded dragon). RNAcentral describes it as "lncRNA (ENSPVIG00000021333.1)". The record is from RNAcentral. Lineage: Eukaryota; Metazoa; Chordata; Lepidosauria; Squamata; Agamidae.
UACCCCCAUCUCUACUCCCAGGUUCCACCUCUUGCAGAUUGAUAACCACCAACCACGGUUGUCCUUAACACUUUCCAAUUUCUUAGCAGGAUUAUGAGAAAGAUGGCCGGUUUGGUAUCCUCCCAACCCGAAGUGACAACCCCCAUGAAUGAGAAAGAGGGAGGGAAGACCAAAGAGAUAUCAGAGAAGACCGAGAGAAUGCCAUCACAGAAAGUUUUUGAAGAAAGUGGACUGUACUCUUACUCCUUUUUUGGAGCCAAAUGAAAGCAAUCAUUCACACUAUGCCACUCAAAGGAGCAGAGUGCAUGAAAACAAUAUCUGCUAUCCAAUGGCCAGCCUAAGAAAAGAACAAACAGAAUCCCUUAUGUUUGGCUGCAUUUGGCAUUCAGUUGGUGCUGGAGGUUGAAGCUGAGCAGAAGAAAUGCUAACGCUGGAACAGAAGAACAGAAGAAGGCACAACUGCUUUAAAUGCCAUGGUGCAUGCCUUGCUUAUGAUGCUCUACAAUAAAACAUUGCCAGAUUGUCA